RNAcentral lists this ribosomal RNA (425 nucleotides) under uncultured bacterium. RNAcentral's name for it is "partial 16S ribosomal RNA". It matches the Rfam family "Bacterial small subunit ribosomal RNA", at positions 354 to 796 of the family's 1533-position model. The record is from RNAcentral.
GUGGGGAAUAUUGGACAAUGGGCGCAAGCCUGAUCCAGCCAUGCCGCGUGAGUGAUGAAGGCCUUAGGGUUGUAAAGCUCUUUCGUCAGGGAAGAUAAUGACGGUACCUGAAGAAGAAGCCACGGCUAACUUCGUGCCAGCAGCCGCGGUAAUACGAAGGGGGCUAGCGUUGCUCGGAAUCACUGGGCGUAAAGCGCACGUAGGCGGCUUUCUAAGACAGGGGUGAAAUCCUGGAGCUCAACUCCAGAACUGCCUUUGAUACUGGAGAGCUUGAGUUCGGGAGAGGUGAAUGGAACUGCGAGUGUAGAGGUGAAAUUCGUAGAUAUUCGCAAGAACACCAGUGGCGAAGGCGGCUCACUGGCCCGAUACUGACGCUGAGGUGCGAAAGCGUGGGGAGCAAACAGGAUUAGAAACCCUAGUAGUCC